CGUUAGCUCAGCUGGUAGAGCAACUGACUCUUAAUCAGUAGGUCGCAGGUUCGACCCCUGCAC
RNAcentral lists this transfer RNA (63 nucleotides) under marine eukaryotic metagenome. It matches the Rfam family "tRNA", at positions 6 to 65 of the family's 71-position model. From Rfam's summary of the family: Transfer RNA (tRNA) molecules are approximately 80 nucleotides in length. Their secondary structure includes four short double-helical elements and three loops (D, anti-codon, and T loops). Further hydrogen bonds mediate the characteristic L-shaped molecular structure. tRNAs have two regions of fundamental functional importance: the anti-codon, which is responsible for specific mRNA codon recognition, and the 3' end, to which the tRNAs corresponding amino acid is attached (by aminoacyl-tRNA synthetases). tRNAs cope with the degeneracy of the genetic code in two manners: having more than one tRNA (with a specific anti-codon) for a particular amino acid; and 'wobble' base-pairing, i.e. permitting non-standard base-pairing at the 3rd anti-codon position. The record is from RNAcentral.